This 484-nucleotide ribosomal RNA is filed under the name uncultured bacterium. RNAcentral describes it as "partial 16S ribosomal RNA". It matches the Rfam family "Bacterial small subunit ribosomal RNA", at positions 28 to 523 of the family's 1533-position model. The record is from RNAcentral.
GACGAACGCUGGCGGCGUGCUUAACACAUGCAAGUCGAACGAUGAAGCCGGAGCUUGCUCUGGUGAAUUAGUGGCGAACGGGUGAGUAACACGUGAGUAACCUGCCCUUGACUCUGGGAUAACUGCGGGAAACUGUAGCUAAUACCGGAUACGACCCUCGGAGGCAUCUCCUGGGGGUGGAAAGAAUUUCGGUCAAGGAUGGACUCGCGGCCUAUCAGCUAGUUGGUGAGGUAAAGGCUAACCAAGGCGACGACGGGUAGCCGGCCUGAGGGGGUGACCGGCCACACUGGGACUUAGACACGGCACAGACUCCUACGGGAGGCAGCAGUGGGGAACAUUGCACAAUGGGCGCAAGCCUGAUGCAGCAACGCCGCGUGAGGGAUGACGGCCUUCGGGUUGUAAACCUCUUUUUGCAGGGAAGAAGCGAAAGUGACGGUACCUGCAGAAAAAGCACCGGCUAACUACGUGCCAGCCGCCGCAGUAA